Molecule: ribosomal RNA, 480 nt
Filed under: uncultured bacterium
Lineage: Bacteria
Description: partial 16S ribosomal RNA
Rfam family: Bacterial small subunit ribosomal RNA
Source: RNAcentral
GACGAACGCUGGCGGCGUGCUUAACACAUGCAAGUCGAACGAUGAAGAAAAGAAUCGAAGCUUCGGCAGAAAUUCAUUUCGGAUUAGUGGCAGACGGGUGAGUAACGCGUGAGCAACCUACCUCUUACAAAGGGAUAGCCUCGGGAAACCGGGAUUAAUACCAUAUAACAUUGUGACGAAGCAUUUCAAUGCAAUCAAAGCUACGGCGGUAAGAGAUGGGCUCGCGUCCCAUUAACCGGAUGGUGAGGUAACGGCUCACCAUAGUGACGAUGGGUAACCGGCCUGAGAGGGUGAACGGUCACACUGGAACUGAGACACGGUCCAGACUCCUACGGGAGGCAGCAGUGGGGAAUAUUGCACAAUGGAGGGAACUCUGAUGCAGCGACGCCGCGUGAGUGAUGAAGGAAUUCGUUUCGUAAAACUCUGUUCUAUGGGAAGAAAAGGACUGUACCAUAGGAGAAAGCUCCGGCUAAAUACGUG